UUGCAAACUAGAUCACUGGCUCUGCAUGCGGUUGCAGAAGCAAGGGGAACACGUUUGCUAUAUAAACUGAUGUGGAAAAAUGAGUUGCUCUGGAGUCCAAUUUCUUCGGCUUUCAUUUUUCUACACAACAUGU
Rana temporaria (common frog) is the source of this 133-nucleotide small nucleolar RNA. The record is from RefSeq and is a predicted model, not a curated record. Lineage: Eukaryota; Metazoa; Chordata; Amphibia; Anura; Ranidae.